RNAcentral lists this long non-coding RNA (479 nucleotides) under Cricetulus griseus (Chinese hamster). RNAcentral's name for it is "lncRNA (ENSCGRG00000024287.1)". Lineage: Eukaryota; Metazoa; Chordata; Mammalia; Rodentia; Cricetidae. The record is from RNAcentral.
UUUAGAAGGGAACCUUUUCGACACAGUGGCUGCGCACACGCGUUACGGUGACAGGGUAUGAACAUGGUGGUCAUCCUUGAGGUGUGACAGCCCCAGAAGGAUCUGCAGGAGCUACUGUAGACCAGGUCAUUUCAGGCCUGCUGAGGAGAACAGUGCUCUCCUCAGCCUGGAAGGCCCAACAGUAGUGGAGGACACUACUGUGAUUUGGGCCUAAAGUUUCAUUCAGAGGUGGAAACAAACGGAAGGAAAUUCAGCCACAGGGCACCGCUGCUCCUGAAGAAAUGAAUGUUUUCCUCCCAGAACUGAAUUACUGGUGUGCUGGGACUGGCAAAGACCAUGGAGGCCUGCUAAAGGAUGCUGCCCUCUGUGUGGUGAUGUACCCAAAUUUACCGUCAGCAAAGACCGAGCAGAUGGGGCUAUCUAGUCGUGGACUUCAACACUCCCAAACUGUAAGCUGUAUAAGCCUCUCUUCUGUAUAG